This 235-nucleotide unclassified non-coding RNA is filed under the name Hevea brasiliensis (rubber tree). The record is from RNAcentral. Lineage: Eukaryota; Viridiplantae; Streptophyta; Magnoliopsida; Malpighiales; Euphorbiaceae.
CCUCCCCAACCUGCAGACAUAAAGCAAAGGUGGAUAAAUGAGAGAUGUACGUGGAUAAAUGAGAGAUGUACUAUGUAGUUUCUUGCCCAAUUAAAAUCUAAAUCUUAUUUUCAGAAAUAUAAAACUUUAAAACCAGUUCCAGUUUUCCACCAGGAAAUCUGAGUCUCAAACUGAAAAACAAGGUUUGCACCAGAAGAAAUUCUUAACAAGAGCACAGCUACCUUCUCUUAAUCAG